CAGCCGCCACGGUAAUACAGAGGUCCCGAGCGUUGUUCGGAUUCACUGGGCGUAAAGGGUGUGUAGGAGGUUGGAUAAGUCAGGUGUGAAAUCCCACAGCUUAACUGUGGAACUGCAUUCGAUACUGUCUGACUAGAGGAUCGGAGGGGGAAGCGGAAUUCUUGGUGUAGCGGUGAAAUGCGUAGAUAUCAAGAGGAACACCGGUGGCGAAGGCGGCUUCCUGGACGAUUCCUGACUCUGAAACACGAAAGCCAGGGGAGCGAAUGGGAUUAGAUACCCCCGUAGUCCCUGUCUCUUAUAC
This 301-nucleotide ribosomal RNA is filed under the name uncultured bacterium. RNAcentral's name for it is "partial 16S ribosomal RNA". It matches the Rfam family "Bacterial small subunit ribosomal RNA", at positions 509 to 807 of the family's 1533-position model. The record is from RNAcentral.